RNAcentral lists this ribosomal RNA (793 nucleotides) under Streptomyces sp. RNAcentral describes it as "bacterial SSU rRNA". It matches the Rfam family "Bacterial small subunit ribosomal RNA", at positions 67 to 873 of the family's 1533-position model. Lineage: Bacteria; Bacillati; Actinomycetota; Actinomycetes; Kitasatosporales; Streptomycetaceae. The record is from RNAcentral.
CGAUGAACCUCCUUCGGGAGGGGAUUAGUGGCGAACGGGUGAGUAACACGUGGGCAAUCUGCCCUGCACUCCGGGACAAGCCCUGGAAACGGGGUCUAAUACCGGAUACGACUCUCGCGGGCAUCCGCGAGGGUGGAAAGCUCCGGCGGUGCAGGAUGAGCCCGCGGCCUAUCAGCUGGUUGGUGGGGUAACGGCCCACCAAGGCGACGACGGGUAGCCGGCCUGAGAGGGCGACCGGCCACACUGGGACUGAGACACGGCCCAGACUCCUACGGGAGGCAGCAGUGGGGAAUAUUGCACAAUGGGCGCAAGCCUGAUGCAGCGACGCCGCGUGAGGGAUGACGGCCUUCGGGUUGUAAACCUCUUUCAGCAGGGAAGAAGCGCAAGUGACGGUACCUGCAGAAGAAGCGCCGGCUAACUACGUGCCAGCAGCCGCGGUAAUACGUAGGGCGCGAGCGUUGUCCGGAAUUAUUGGGCGUAAAGAGCUCGUAGGCGGCCUGUCACGUCGGGUGUGAAAGCCCGGGGCUUAACCCCGGGUCUGCAUUCGAUACGGGCAGGCUGGAGUUCGGCAGGGGAGAUCGGAAUUCCUGGUGUAGCGGUGAAAUGCGCAGAUAUCAGGAGGAACACCGGUGGCGAAGGCGGAUCUCUGGGCCGAUACUGACGCUGAGGAGCGAAAGCGUGGGGAGCGAACAGGAUUAGAUACCCUGGUAGUCCACGCCGUAAACGUUGGGCACUAGGUGUGGGAUCCAUUCCACGGGUUCCGUGCCGCAGCUAACGCAUUAAGUGCCCCGCC